Molecule: non-coding RNA, 638 nt
Filed under: Trichomonas vaginalis G3
Lineage: Eukaryota; Parabasalia; Trichomonadida; Trichomonadidae
Description: Eukaryotic large subunit ribosomal RNA
Rfam family: Eukaryotic large subunit ribosomal RNA
Source: Rfam by way of RNAcentral
GUAGUCUGCCAUACGCAGGAAGACCCGCUGAACUGAAGCAUCUCAUUAAGCGGAGGAAAAGAAACUAACUAGGAUUCCCUUAGUAAAGGCGAUCGAAAAGGGAACAGCCCAACGUCUUAAUCCCGCAAGGGAAAUGUAGUCGGUUCACCUAUUGCACUGGUCUAAGUCAGAUGGAAUGCUGCGCGAUUCAGAGUAAAAGCCUCGUAUGACCAACCGCAAGCUUACGAUGGACCGGGGAGAGUCGGAUACUUUGAGAGUAGUGUCUUAAGGGGGUGGUAUGUCCCAUCCAAGGCUAAAUAACGUGAGGAGACCGAUAGAUUACAAGUAGUGUGAACGAAAGAUGAAAAGAACUCUAAAACAGAGGGUGAAAAGUUCCUGAACUUGCUUAGGGUUAAGGCUAUUUAUAGUACCCGUCUUGAAACACGGAUUAGGGAGUUUAUCUGUAGUGCGAGUCUUUGCACGUUAACUGUAAAGGCGUAGAGAAAGCAACUGGCGUUUGCAUGGCUACUGAGCAUUACUGAUAGGACCCGAAAGGUGGUGAACUUUGCCUGCACAGGUUGAAGUCAGGGGAAACUCUGAUGGAGGACCGUACGGGUUAUUGAUGUGCAAAUCAUUUUUCUGAUGUAGGUAAAGGUGCG